Molecule: long non-coding RNA, 550 nt
Organism: Heterocephalus glaber (naked mole-rat)
Lineage: Eukaryota; Metazoa; Chordata; Mammalia; Rodentia; Bathyergidae
Source: Ensembl
UUUUUUUCUAUGAGAAGUGCAAAAAUGCUUGCUGGAUAUUUGGCAUUUGAACAAAGAUCCCAAAAAGUGAGGGAGCCAUGUGCCUUUCUGAGGGGAGAUGGACAAAGGCAGCGGAAACAGCUUAGUGAAGGCCCAGAGUUUCCACAGGGAGGACAGUGCUUUCCCCUCAUUCCUUCUGCCCUGGACUGACCUUGGUGCUUCCUCUCUGGUCCUAUAUGGAAUGCAGUGCCUUCUUCCUGUAGGGAACUACACAUUUGGAAUCCAGCCAACAGCCUCUAAGGAAACUCCAAAAGCCCCAUGGAGAAGAUAUAUAAGUAUUGUGAUGGACAGGUGAGGUCCAGCCAUCAGACAAGGCCAGCUGUCAGACAUGCAAGAGCAGUGAGUUUUCAGGUGACUAUAGCCCUCCACUGUUGUUAUCCCAGCUUCUAAGCCACUCUGCUUGAUGCCAUAUGGGACGGGCAAGCUAUUCCUAUUGAGCCCUGUGCAAAUUACAAAUUUGUGAGAAAAAUAAAACAUGUUUUCCAUUUUACAAUGCUAAGUUUUGAGAUGG